GAUGAACGCUGGCGGCGUGCCUAAUACAUGCAAGUCGAGCGAACGGACGAGAAGCUUGCUUCUCUGAUGUUAGCGGCGGACGGGUGAGUAACACGUGGAUAACCUACCUAUAAGACUGGGAUAACUUCGGGAAACCGGAGCUAAUACCGGAUAAUAUUUUGAACCGCAUGGUUCAAAAGUGAAAGACGGUCUUGCUGUCACUUAUAGAUGGAUCCGCGCUGCAUUAGCUAGUUGGUAAGGUAACGGCUUACCAAGGCAACGAUGCAUAGCCGACCUGAGAGGGUGAUCGGCCACACUGGAACUGAGACACGGUCCAGACUCCUACGGGAGGCAGCAGUAGGGAAUCUUCCGCAAUGGGCGAAAGCCUGACGGAGCAACGCCGCGUGAGUGAUGAAGGUCUUCGGAUCGUAAAACUCUGUUAUUAGGGAAGAACAUAUGUGUAAGUAACUGUGCACAUCUUGACGGUACCUAAUCAGAAAGCCACGGCUAACUACGUGCCAGCAGCCGCGGUAAUACGUAGGUGGCAAGCGUUAUCCGGAAUUAUUGGGCGUAAAGCGCGCGUAGGCGGUUUUUUAAGUCUGAUGUGAAAGCCCACGGCUCAACCGUGGAGGGUCAUUGGAAACUGGAAAACUUGAGUGCAGAAGAGGAAAGUGGAAUUCCAUGUGUAGCGGUGAAAUGCGCAGAGAUAUGGAGGAACACCAGUGGCGAAGGCGACUUUCUGGUCUGUAACUGACGCUGAUGUGCGAAAGCGUGGGGAUCAAACAGGAUUAGAUACCCUGGUAGUCCACGCCGUAAACGAUGAGUGCUAAGUGUUAGGGGGUUUCCGCCCCUUAGUGCUGCAGCUAACGCAUUAAGCACUCCGCCUGGGGAGUACGACCGCAAGGUUGAAACUCAAAGGAAUUGACGGGGACCCGCACAAGCGGUGGAGCAUGUGGUUUAAUUCGAAGCAACGCGAAGAACCUUACCAAAUCUUGACAUCCUUUGACAACUCUAGAGAUAGAGCUUUCCCCUUCGGGGGACAAAGUGACAGGUGGUGCAUGGUUGUCGUCAGCUCGUGCCGUGAGAUGUUGGGUUAAGUCCCGCAACGAGCGCAACCCUUAAGCUUAGUUGCCAUCAUUAAGUUGGGCACUCUAAGUUGACUGCCGGUGACAAACCGGAGGAAGGUGGGGAUGACGUCAAAUCAUCAUGCCCCUUAUGAUUUGGGCUACACACGUGCUACAAUGGACAAUACAAAGGGCAGCGAAACCGUGAGGUCAAGCAAAUCCCAUAAAGUUGUUCUCAGUUCGGAUUGUAGUCUGCAACUCGACUACAUGAAGCUGGAAUCGCUAGUAAUCGUAGAUCAGCAUGCUACGGUGAAUACGUUCCCGGGUCU
This 1372-nucleotide ribosomal RNA is filed under the name uncultured bacterium. RNAcentral's name for it is "bacterial SSU rRNA". It matches the Rfam family "Bacterial small subunit ribosomal RNA", at positions 28 to 1381 of the family's 1533-position model. The record is from RNAcentral.